RNAcentral lists this ribosomal RNA (484 nucleotides) under uncultured bacterium. RNAcentral's name for it is "partial 16S ribosomal RNA". It matches the Rfam family "Bacterial small subunit ribosomal RNA", at positions 30 to 507 of the family's 1533-position model. The record is from RNAcentral.
AUUGAACGCUGGCGGCAGGCCUAACACAUGCAAGUCGAGCGGAUGAAGGGAGCUUGCUCCUGGAUUCAGCGGCGGACGGGUGAGUAAUGCCUAGGAAUCUGCCUGGUAGUGGGGGAUAACGUCCGGAAACGGGCGCUAAUACCGCAUACGUCCUGAGGGAGAAAGUGGGGGAGCUUCGGACCUCACGCUAUCAGAUGAGCCCAGGUCGGUUUAGAUAGUUGGUGGGGUAAAGGCCUACCAAGGCGACGAUCCGUAACUGGUCUGAGAGGAUGAUCAGUCACACUGGAACUGAGACACGGUCCAGACUCCUACGGGAGGCAGCAGUGGGGAAUAUUGGACAAUGGGCGAAAACCUGAUCCAGCCAUGCCGCGUGUGUGACGAAGGUCUUCGGAUUGUAAAGCACUUUAAGUUGGGAGGAAGGGCAGUAAGUUAAUACCUUGCUGUUUUGACGUUACCAACAGAAUAAGCACCGGCUAACUUCGUG